Molecule: long non-coding RNA, 762 nt
Organism: Nicotiana attenuata
Lineage: Eukaryota; Viridiplantae; Streptophyta; Magnoliopsida; Solanales; Solanaceae
Exons: 2
Source: RefSeq, a predicted model, not a curated record
UGCCUACUUAGAUCUAGGUCCGACUUCUUAGCUUUAUCCGAACACUUUCCUUUUCUUCUUCGAGCUCCAACCCUUGUCUCUUCGAUUCUUCCUGAGAGAUGAGAGAAUGUGACGAUUGAUUUCCAACAUAGUUGACAAGGAAGACCGAAUUGAUCCCAAUUCCCAUGGAAUAGGAACUGAAAGCAUAAACCUCGUUUACUGGCCGGUGAAGCUUGCCGAAUUCCUGGAGUUUCACCCUCGAGCAUUGUGGUGGGUUGACAAAGAUUGAGUUGCGGAAUCUUCAAAAUAUUAGGUCAGUUUCUAUUGGGACGAACAGAAACCAGCAUGUUAAAAUCCACGCACCAACUCUGGAACACUUGUCUUAUUUUGGUGCUCGAGAAAAUUUACCUAUGUUGGAUAUUGUUGAAGGUCAGAAUCUGAAAUCUUUAGAGAUAUUUGGUGUUUCGACGCCUGUUUCGUAUCUUGAUCAAGUGACUGGAAAAAUCAGCAUCAUGAAAGAAUUGGAGUCAUUGUACAAUUCUCAUGAUAUACAAAAUUUGCAAUACUUCUGUUAUAUCCCUUAGUAUCAGUACUGUAGUGGCCCUAUUGUACACCAGUUUUCGUUUCACAAUUAGAUGGUGAUGCCAAAACUUGUUUCAUCACCCAAAAUAUGUACUGCUUUUGCAGUAGUACAAUUUGAUUUUGUUAAUGUUAGCUGAUAGCUUUUGUUUGCCAUAUUUAAAACAAUGAAUCAAGGAAAAGUUACAUAUGGCUUGGUUUUUC